UGGGGAAUAUUACGCAAUGGGCGAAAGCCUGACGCAGCGACGCCGCGUGAGGGAAGAAGGCCUUCGGGUCGUAAACCUCUGUCUAGAGGGAAGAAACCAUUGAGGUCGAACAGGCCUCUUUGCUGACGGUACCUCUGAGGGAAGCACCGGCUAACUCCGUGCCAGCAGCCGCGGUAAUACGGAGGGAGCUAGCGUUGUUCGGAAUUACUGGGCGUAAAGCGCGCGUAGGCGGCUACUCAAGUCAGAGAUGAAAGCCAAGGGCUCAACCCCGGAACUGCCUUUGAAACUAGGUGGCUAGAAUCUUGGAGAGGUCAGUGGAAUUCCGAGUGUAGAGGUGAAAUUCGUAGAUAUUCGGAAGAACACCAGUGGCGAAGGCGACUGACUGGACAAGUAUUGACGCUGAGGUGCGAAAGCGUGGGGAGCAAACG
Molecule: ribosomal RNA, 428 nt
Filed under: uncultured prokaryote
Description: bacterial SSU rRNA
Rfam family: Bacterial small subunit ribosomal RNA
Source: RNAcentral